This is a long non-coding RNA of Dermacentor albipictus, 320 nucleotides long. RefSeq lists it as uncharacterized. Lineage: Eukaryota; Metazoa; Arthropoda; Arachnida; Ixodida; Ixodidae. The record is from RefSeq and is a predicted model, not a curated record.
AGGAUUAAAGCAGGAGAGUUUGACACUAAUAACAACGCCACCAAACAAAGCAGAACCCCCGGCUCUCCAGUGCAACUAUACAGUGAACCACUGCACCGGAUUAAAGUGGGAGAGGUCGACACUAAUAACAAUGCCGCCAAAGAAAGCAGAACCCCCAGCUCUCCAGUGCAACUAUAGAGUGGACCACAUCACCGGUACAACGAUUGACUAGAGGUCCUGGAGUCAUCAGGACAAAUAAUUCUCAACAUAUACGAAGGAUAUCUGAUGUGUUUGAGAUGACGAAGCAAUUAUGUCAAUAUGAAAUACUUAUUUGAAAAGGC